RNAcentral lists this ribosomal RNA (254 nucleotides) under uncultured bacterium. Its description in RNAcentral is "partial 16S ribosomal RNA". It matches the Rfam family "Bacterial small subunit ribosomal RNA", at positions 524 to 776 of the family's 1533-position model. The record is from RNAcentral.
UACAGAGGGGGCAAGCGUUGUUCGGAAUUACUGGGCGUAAAGGGCGCGUAGGCGGCCCGCUAAGUCGAACGUGAAAUCCCCGAGCUCAACUCGGGAACUGCGUCUGAUACUGGAUGGCUUGAGUUUGGGAGAGGGAUCCGGAAUUCCAGGUGUAGCGGUGAAAUGCGUAGAUAUCUGGAGGAACACCGGUGGCGAAGGCGGCAUCCUGGACCAACACUGACGCUGAGUGAGCGAAAGCCAGGGGAGCAAGCGGG